GCUGGUGAUGUACCCUUCCCUGUGAUCCCUGAGUGUGGCAGCAUGAGUAGCGGCGGUUAUUGUGCUGAAGAGGAGAGCGCGUGUGUGGAUUCCCGUUUUGUAAAUAAACUGUCACCUUUUGCUUGCCAGAACUCCGGCUGCAGGUAUAGCCUGUGGCUAAGGGAUCAGAGCAUUCAGCACUUCAGACACUCAACACCCCACCCAGACGACAGCCUUACCAUGACCUGAUGAGAAGGAUGGAUGACCAAAGGACAAACUGGAGAGUGGUGCUGUUUUCGAACUAUGGCAGUGUCUUUAGCAAUCCUGGAACAGCUGAGAGUGGACAGAGCUGCACAGAGGACCAAAGAUCCACUCUCAGCACUUUAUAUCUGACCGGCCCCAGCACCACCCCUCUUCACCCAACGUGAGGAGGGUCCUGACCCCGCCUGCACAGCGGGAGUUGUGGACAUCCAUUUCUAUGUCAGUGAGUUUAGGAACCUCCUCACACACACACGGAUGUACACCGUCACUAGAAGAUGUCUCCAUUGCAUCAGCAGGAUGUAAGCAUUUAUACAAUACUGCAGUUUGUGAUAUUUCAUACAUGUUUUUAUCUCUUCAGUUAAAACUAGGAGAUA
Non-coding RNA from Maylandia zebra (zebra mbuna), 614 nucleotides. Lineage: Eukaryota; Metazoa; Chordata; Actinopteri; Cichliformes; Cichlidae. The record is from RefSeq and is a predicted model, not a curated record.